Long non-coding RNA from Otolemur garnettii (small-eared galago), 4279 nucleotides. RefSeq lists it as uncharacterized. The record is from RefSeq and is a predicted model, not a curated record. NCBI's taxonomy places the organism in Eukaryota, Metazoa, Chordata, Mammalia, Primates, Galagidae. The transcript is spliced from 3 exons.
GUGUGAGUAUGGACUCUCAGUGGUAAUUAGUUUUGGCCUUAACAUCUGAUGAACUCGACGUGAUAGUUGCCACUGAGACCCCAUCCGACAUGGAGUGAUUCAAGAACCGGCUGCCCACUUGAAAUAAUUGCAGUCAGCUCCUCCAAGUUCUUUUCACCACAGAGGAGAGAGAAAGGAUCCUGACAGAAGCCCGGAAGCUGGUUUCGGGGGAUGACAGAAACCCUACUUCAAACCCAGAAAGAAUUGCAGAGAAGUUUCCUCUAUCCUGCCCAGACUGGAAUUAUGACACCCCUGAAGGUAAGGAGAGAAUCAAAGUCUCCCGCCAGAUUCUCAUGGGAGGUCUCUGAGCUGCAGCCCGGAAACCUACAAAUUUGGCUAAAGUCAGUCAGGUAAGACAAGAUAAGGAAGAGGCACCUGGGGCCUUUUUAGAACAUCUCUUAGAAGCAUAUCGCACAUAUACCCCUAUAGACCUAGAAGACCCUAUUAACCGCAUUGCAGUAAUGAUGACCUUUGUCAAUCAGGCAGCACCUGACAUUAGUCGGAAGCAGCAACGGCUGGAAAAUCUGAGUAAAAGGACAAUUUCUGAACUUAUGGCAGUAGCACAAAAAGUGUAUAACAACUGGGAGACAGCAAUAGACAAACAAACUAAGACAUUAAUUGCAGCUAACAAGAAACAUACCCAAGAAUUGGCCAAAGUCCUGAUGGCCAACAUGGUGAGAGUGGACUGUAGAGUGCCAAGACAAGCACACUGGAUGGAAGGUAAGCCUGAAGGCUGGGAAGGAAGUAGACCCCCUCUAGAAAAAGAUCAGUGCGCCUAUUGCAGGGAGAAGGGACACUGGAAAUAUAAUUGCCCCAACCGACCGGCCAAGACAUGCCAAAGCCCGGCCCAAGUUCUGGAAUUGGGUGAAUUAAAUGAAUAGGGGGGACAGGGUUCAAGUACCCCUCCCUGAGCCCAGGGUAACCCUAAAAGUGGAGGGGAAACCUGCAGACUUCCUGGUAGACACAGGUGCCCAACACUCCAUCCUUAAACAAUCACUUGGAACACUAUCAAGCCGUAAAUCAUGAGUGCAAGGGGUGACAGGAACCAAUCAGUACUCAUGGACCACUCAAAGGACAGUGGACUUUGGAACUGGCCGAGUGUCCCAUGCAUUUAUGGUCAUACCUGACUGCAUACCUGACUGACUCCCCCUUGCUGGGGAGAGACGUAUUGACAAAUAUAGGCACACACAUUCAUUUCCAGCCACAAGGGAUCCAAGUCACUCACGCCAACAGGGAACCUGUAUGUGUGCUGACAGUCUCAAUACCAGAUGAACACCAACUUCAUAAAAGACAAGCUAAAACAUGCAUUCCAACCGAACUAGAACCAUGGCUAUCAGAAUUCCCAAAGGCUUGGGCAGAGACAGGGGGCAUGGGAUAUGCAGCACACCACCCCCCUGUGAUAGUAAAAUUAAAGGCUGGGGCCCUGCCAAUACAAGUAAAACAAUACCCCGUGUCAAAAGAAGCCCCAGAAGGUAUCACCCCUCACAUAAAAAGAUUAGGACAACUAGGAAUACUAAUCCCAUGCCAAUCACCUUGGAAUACCCCCUUACUGCCUGUCAAGAAGCCAAGUACUUAUGAUUAUUGGCCGGUCCAAGACCUUAGGGAGGUCAACAAAUGAACAGCCCAUAUCCACUCCACGGUGCCCAACCCCUAUACCCUGCUAAGCACUCUACCACCCACUAAAAAAUGGCAUACUGUUUUAGAUUUAAAAGAUGCCUUCUUUUGCCUACCUUUGGCCCCAAGAGUCAGCCUAUGUUUGCAUUCGAAUGGCGAGACCCCACAGAUGGAUUCAACGGACAGCUUACCUGGAUUCAGCUGCCCCAAGGUUUCAAGAACUCCCCAACCAUCUUCGAUGAGGCUUUAUAUGAAGACCUCAGUAAGUACUGAAGAAAUAACCCUAAAGUCAGUUUACUUCAAUAUGUAUACGACCUCCUGAUAGCAGUGGAUAGCCUGACGGAUUGCCAACAGGUUACUCAAGAAUUACUUAAAACUCUUGGGGACCAUGGGUACCAGGCUUCAGCCCAAAAGGCCCAAAUCUGCAAAACUCAAGUUAUUUACCUAGACUACAUACUCAAGGGGGAACAAAGAUGAUUAUCAGACUCUAGAAAAGAAACUAUCCUAAGAAUACCCAUGCCUAAGACCCAGAGAAGUCAGAGAAUUCCUGGGGACAGCAGGGUUUUGCCGACUAUGGAUUCCAGGUUUUGCAGAAAAGGCAAAGCCACUGUAUGAGGCAACCUGAGGCCAGGAACCCCUAACCUGGACUGAAAUUAUGACUCAAGCCUUUGACAGUAUAAAGAUUGAUCUCUUACAUGCCCCAGCUUUAGCCUUACCAGAUAUAACAAAAUCCUCCCACUUAUAUAUAAAUGAAAAAACAGGAAUAGCAAAAAGAGUACUAACUCAAACCUUAGGACCAUGGGAAAGACCAGUAGCUCACUUAUCAAAGAAAUUAGACCCUGUAGCUGCAGGAUGGCCACCCUGCUUAUGCAGCAUAGCCGCUACGGCCUUACUAGUUAAAGAUGCAAAUAAACUAACUCUGGGUCAAGAUCUAAUGGUGACCACACCACAUGCUAUUGAAGGAGUACUCAAAUAACCACCCAAUCGGUGGCUGACUAAUGCCAGAUUAACUCUCAAGCUUUGUUAUUAAACCCCCCGAAAGUCCAAUUCAGUUCCAGCGCUGCCCUCAACCCAGCCACCCUACUACCUGAUCCAGAUUUGACACAACCUCUUCAUGAUUACACUGAAAUCCUGAGUCAAGCCCAUUGCAUUCGAGAUGACCUCUGAGACCAACCCUUACCACAGGCAGAUGUCACCUGGUAUACAGAUGGCAGCAGUUUUAUGAAAGAUGGUAACAGGAUGGGUAGAAGCCUACCCCACCAAGACUGAAACGGCUGCUGUGGUAAACAAAAGGCUACGAGAAGACAUCAUCCCAAGGUAUGGAUUCCCCACUCAAACAGGGUCUGAUAAUGGCCCGUCUUUUGUCUCCCAAGUACAGCAAAAGAUAGCCUCCCUCCUAAACAUUAAUUGGAAAUUACAUUGUGCCUAUAGGCCCCAAAGUUCAGGACAAGUAAAAAAAAUGAACCGAACUCUAAAAAAAUUUUAUCUAAACUGAUUUUAGAGACUGGUGCAGACUGGAUAUCUCUCCUCCCCUUCGCCCUAUAUAGAGUUAGAAACUCCCCCUACACCCUAGGAUCACUCCCUAUAAAAUCCUUUAUGGAAGACCUCCUCCCAUUAUUCCUGGCACCCAUAACAACAUAACAGGUAUAAAUAAUAAAAAUUUCCUCCUUUCCCUUCAGUUCUAUCAGCAGGUACAAAAAGAAAACUAGAACCUUCUAUGGGCCACUUACAUGAUUGACCAAGUUCCUGAAUCCCACAGGUUCCAACCUGGAGACUGGGUGUAUGUGAAGAGACACCAUCAAAAAACACUUGAGCCCUGGGGGGAAAGACCCUAUAUUGUCCUGACAACCCCCGCUGCUCUCAAAGUAGACAGCAUUGCCUCCUGGGUGCAUCACACACACAUCAAGCUUGCAGAACCCAUUGCUGACAAAAAAGACUUCACUUCGCAAUGAAAAGUUCGGCGAGAUGAAGACAAUCCCUUAAAGCUGAAGCUGACGCGUUCCUUGCCAACACCAUGUUGGCAUUACUGCUGUUACCUAUGUGUACAUCAUCCCCUGAUUUGCACCAACCCUUAAAUGUAACCUGGGUAAUCAUAAAUGCCCUCACAGGAACCAUUGCUAACCAGACCUCAGGCAUCCACCCAUGAGGCACUUGGUUCCCUGAACUUUUAGUGGACAUGAAUGAACUUGUAGAUACCUACCCCUACCCAGGCUGUUUCUACGUAUGUCCGGGACAUUUCAAAGACAAAUGUGGGGGAGGGGAGACUUAUUUCUGUGAGUCGUGGGAAUGUACAUCUACCGGUCAGAUCUAGUGGGAGGCCCCAAAACGAGGGGAUUACACACAGGUAAAAAAAAAAAAGAAAACCCCCCUUGUUGGGGUGCAGCCCCCCGUACCUAAGCAUAGUAGUUUAUUCUCAAGUGCUCCCUGAGGAACGUGGCUAUAAGCUUCUUAUUCUGAGAAUAUGUUUAGAUCUGCCUAAAAGCAGACAGUCAUGUUUACAGAUAAGAUAGCUGGUGAGUCUCGCCAGGUUGUAGCUGGAGAUAACACUUGCUGAGGCAGUGAGCUGUUGUAUCCUGUAUCUCCCCCCUUACUUAUACAAUAGUAGUCAGUUUUAGCUUAGGGGAAA